Molecule: transfer RNA, 62 nt
Filed under: Serrognathus castanicolor
Lineage: Eukaryota; Metazoa; Arthropoda; Insecta; Coleoptera; Lucanidae
Description: tRNA-His
Source: RNAcentral
AUUUAAAUAGUUUAAGAAAAAUUUUGAUUUGUGGAAUCAAGGAUGUAUAAUUACUUUAAAUA